This 497-nucleotide ribosomal RNA is filed under the name uncultured bacterium. RNAcentral's name for it is "partial 16S ribosomal RNA". It matches the Rfam family "Bacterial small subunit ribosomal RNA", at positions 28 to 507 of the family's 1533-position model. The record is from RNAcentral.
GAUGAACGCUGGCGGCGUGCCUAAUACAUGCAAGUCGAGCGAACAGACGAGGAGCUUGCUCCUCUGACGUUAGCGGCGGACGGGUGAGUAACACGUGGAUAACCUACCUAUAAGACUGGGAUAACUUCGGGAAACCGGAGCUAAUACCGGAUAAUAUAUUGAACCGCAUGGUUCAAUAGUGAAAGACGGUUUAGCUGUCACUUAUAGAUGGAUCCGCGCCGCAUUAGCUAGUUGGUAAGGUAACGGCUUACCAAGGCAACGAUGCGUAGCCGACCUGAGAGGGUGAUCGGCUACACUGGAACUGAGACACGGUCCAGACUCCUACGGGAGGCAGCAGUAGGGAAUCUUCCGCAAUGGGCGAAAGCUUGACGGAGCAACGCCGCGUGAGUGAUGAAGGUCUUCGGAUCGUAAAACUCUGUUAUUAGGGAAGAACAAAUGUGUAAGUAACUAUGCACGUCUUGACGGUACCUAAUCAGAAAGCCACGGCUAACUACGUG